GGGGUCGUGGCGUAGCCAGGCAGCGCGGCGGGCUCCAGCGGUGAUGAUGACAAACGGGUCUGCUGAUGCGUGAUGACCCGUUGGAGCGCUGACCCGAAGAGACCCGCAGGUCGUGGGUUCAAAUCCCACCGGCCCCA
Molecule: transfer RNA, 137 nt
Filed under: Archaeoglobus veneficus SNP6
Lineage: Archaea; Methanobacteriati; Methanobacteriota; Archaeoglobi; Archaeoglobales; Archaeoglobaceae
Rfam family: Small nucleolar RNA sR3 (bases 40-94)
Source: Rfam by way of RNAcentral